UUAAAUUGAAGAGUUUGAUCAUGGCUCAGAUUGAACGCUGGCGGCAGGCCUAACACAUGCAAGUCGAACGGUAACAGGAAGCAGCUUGCUGCUUUGCUGACGAGUGGCGGACGGGUGAGUAAUGUCUGGGAAACUGCCUGAUGGAGGGGGAUAACUACUGGAAACGGUGGCUAAUACCGCAUAACGUCGCAAGACCAAAGAGGGGGACCUUUGGGCCUCUUGCCAUCAGAUGUGCCCAGAUGGGAUUAGCUUGUUGGUGAGGUAACGGCUCACCAAGGCGACGAUCCCUAGCUGGUCUGAGAGGAUGACCAGCCACACUGGAACUGAGACACGGUCCAGACUCCUACGGGAGGCAGCAGUGGGGAAUAUUGCACAAUGGGCGCAAGCCUGAUGCAGCCAUGCCGCGUGUAUGAAGAAGGCCUUCGGGUUGUAAAGUACUUUCAGCGGGGAGGAAGGUGUUGUGGUUAAUAACCGCAGCAAUUGACGUUACCCGCAGAAGAAGCACCGGCUAACUCCGUGCCAGCAGCCGCGGUAAUACGGAGGGUGCAAGCGUUAAUCGGAAUUACUGGGCGUAAAGCGCACGCAGGCGGUCUGUCAAGUCGGAUGUGAAAUCCCCGGGCUCAACCUGGGAACUGCAUUCGAAACUGGCAGGCUUGAGUCUUGUAGAGGGGGGUAGAAUUCCAGGUGUAGCGGUGAAAUGCGUAGAGAUCUGGAGGAAUACCGGUGGCGAAGGCGGCCCCCUGGACAAAGACUGACGCUCAGGUGCGAAAGCGUGGGGAGCAAACAGGAUUAGAUACCCUGGUAGUCCACGCCGUAAACGAUGUCUACUUGGAGGUUGUGCCCUUGAGGCGUGGCUUCCGGAGCUAACGCGUUAAGUAGACCGCCUGGGGAGUACGGCCGCAAGGUUAAAACUCAAAUGAAUUGACGGGGGCCCGCACAAGCGGUGGAGCAUGUGGUUUAAUUCGAUGCAACGCGAAGAACCUUACCUGGUCUUGACAUCCACAGAAGAAUCCAGAGAUGGAUUUGUGCCUUCGGGAACUGUGAGACAGGUGCUGCAUGGCUGUCGUCAGCUCGUGUUGUGAAAUGUUGGGUUAAGUCCCGCAACGAGCGCAACCCUUAUCCUUUGUUGCCAGCGGUUAGGCCGGGAACUCAAAGGAGACUGCCAGUGAUAAACUGGAGGAAGGUGGGGAUGACGUCAAGUCAUCAUGGCCCUUACGACCAGGGCUACACACGUGCUACAAUGGCGCAUACAAAGAGAAGCGACCUCGCGAGAGCAAGCGGACCUCAUAAAGUGCGUCGUAGUCCGGAUUGGAGUCUGCAACUCGACUCCAUGAAGUCGGAAUCGCUAGUAAUCGUGGAUCAGAAUGCCACGGUGAAUACGUUCCCGGGCCUUGUACACACCGCCCGUCACACCAUGGGAGUGGGUUGCAAAAGAAGUAGGUAGCUUAACCUUCGGGAGGGCGCUUACCACUUUGUGAUUCAUGACUGGGGUGAAGUCGUAACAAGGUAACCGUAGGGGAACCUGCGGUUGGAUCACCUCCUUACCUUAAAGAA
Molecule: ribosomal RNA, 1554 nt
Filed under: Salmonella enterica subsp. enterica serovar Enteritidis
Lineage: Bacteria; Pseudomonadati; Pseudomonadota; Gammaproteobacteria; Enterobacterales; Enterobacteriaceae
Also listed under: 1 other name
Description: bacterial SSU rRNA
Rfam family: Bacterial small subunit ribosomal RNA
Source: RNAcentral